RNAcentral lists this non-coding RNA (29 nucleotides) under Homo sapiens (human). The record is from RNAcentral. Lineage: Eukaryota; Metazoa; Chordata; Mammalia; Primates; Hominidae.
UGGAAAUGUGGCCAGUGUGAAUGAAGAUU